CGUAACAAGGUUUCCGUAGGUGAACCUGCGGAAGGAUCAUUGUCGAGACCCGAAAAAAC
RNAcentral lists this ribosomal RNA (59 nucleotides) under Hemiboea subcapitata. RNAcentral describes it as "partial 18S ribosomal RNA". The stretch from base 1 to 42 matches the Rfam family "Eukaryotic small subunit ribosomal RNA", at positions 1790 to 1831 of the family's 1831-position model. The record is from RNAcentral. Lineage: Eukaryota; Viridiplantae; Streptophyta; Magnoliopsida; Lamiales; Gesneriaceae.